Molecule: long non-coding RNA, 1233 nt
Organism: Rosa chinensis
Lineage: Eukaryota; Viridiplantae; Streptophyta; Magnoliopsida; Rosales; Rosaceae
Exons: 4
Source: RefSeq, a predicted model, not a curated record
UUUUUUUUAUCUAUUUUAGACUUUCAAGGAAGCCCCAGACGGUUUGUAGAGGUAUUGUCUUGCUCCCAACCACAGAAUUUGUAGUUUCACUUUUGAGAUCCUAAAUAUGUGUGACUAUAUAAGCAUGCAAGACAUUCAAAAAUUGGAUACUUGGUUGAUUAUGAUGCAAUUCAUAUAUCCCUAUUGACUACGAAAACAAGCAUCAGAGUACUUGGUUGUUCAGACUUCAAACAGGUAUGGUGGGCAAUGCAAGGAUACUCCUGCAGCCCAGGAACCCAUGAGUACUUCUACAAGGACGGAAGAAGUGCUAGCUGGCCCUACUUGGCUACAAAUCUUAUGGUAUACACCAUAAAUGUCAAGUUUCGUAACAAUUGCUGUAUAUUUCAAGCAAGAUUAUAAAAGGCUACCUUAAGGCACGCUUUCUGCCUAGGCGUAGGCUUAAAUGCAGCAAUUGCUCUGGUAAAGUCAUGCAGGCGCAAAAAGUGCACAGUAAGAGGGAAAAGCUUAAGCCUCAGGAGCUUAGUUGAUAAGUCCUUUCACGUUUUGGAUUGAUCCAGUGUUCAUGGGAUUUACAUGGAAAUGUUCCCUAUAAAAUAUUCUUUAGAAGCUGCUAUUCAAGGAUUGUGAAGUCUAAUCCCAACUAAAACCCAGGCUUAAAGUUCUUGUGUGCAUGCUUGAUGAUUGUCUACACGGUGGAAGUUUCACAACAGUAAGAAUGUGACAGACAGAGACAAACAUGCCCGGUACAAUACAUAUCACCGACAUUCCAAAUUCAAGGAUUUCAGGCAUACUUGGGACUUUUUCAGCCUUUCAAGUAUAUUUGCUUCUUGUCUGGUUUUGGAGAUGGCCAUGGGACAGGUUUCCUUUCCAAGCUCGGAUUACAAUCUUGUGAUGGAGUACUGUGUCCGUUGGUUGCCAAACGUCCUUGAGACUAUACCUAGUGCAUCCAAUAGUAGGUUACUGUACAGAUGGGAACACACUAUGGCAUGUAAACAUCUCUCUGUGGAAUCUUAAGUUUUAUUUUCCAAUACUUCGUGUCCCAAAAUAUAUAACUUGAACUCAAAAAGGGAAAAUUCCAUAUCUCCAACCCUUCAAUGCAGAAUAUGAAAAUCCCGAAAUGCAAAAAUCCCAAGUUGUAAAAGUUCAAACACAUUGUAAAAAUCCCAACUUUGAACGUACAAUGGUAAUAGCAGGGGCGUUCGCCCAAGUAAAAUAGGGUUCAUACAACAGACA